This 834-nucleotide ribosomal RNA is filed under the name uncultured archaeon. Its description in RNAcentral is "bacterial SSU rRNA". It matches the Rfam family "Archaeal small subunit ribosomal RNA", at positions 1 to 844 of the family's 1478-position model. The record is from RNAcentral.
UUCCGGUUGAUCCUGCCGGACCCGACUGCUAUCAGAGUGAGAUUAAGCCAUGCGAGUCAACGUAGCAAUACGUGGCAUACGGCUCAGUAACACGUAGUCAACAUAACCAAAGGACGUGGAUAAACUCGGGAAACUGAGGCUAAACCGCGAUAGACCAAGAUACCUGGAAUGGUUUUUGAUUAAAAUCUAUAUGGCCUUUGGAUUGGACUGCGUCCGAUCAGGCUGUUGGUGAGGUAAUGGCCCACCAAACCUAUAACCGGUACGGGCUCUGAGAGGAGGAGCCCGGAGAUGGGUACUGAGACAAGGACCCAGGCCCUAUGGGGCGCAGCAGGCGCGAAACCUCUGCAAUAGGCGAAAGCUUGACAGGGUUACUCUGAGUGACUUUCGCUAAGAAAGUCUUUUGACACCUCUAAAAAUGGUGUAGAAUAAGGGGUGGGCAAGUCUGGUGUCAGCCGCCGCGGUAAUACCAGCACCCCGAGUGGUCGGGACGAUUAUUGGGCCUAAAGCAUCCGUAGCCGGCCUUACAAGUCCCCCGUUAAAUCCAACUGCUUAACAGAUGGGCUGCGGAGGAUACUAUAAGACUAGGAGGCAGGAGAGGCAAGCGGUACUCAGUGGGUAGGGGUAAAAUCCGUUGAUCCAUUGAAGACCACCAGUGGCGAAGGCGGCUUGCCAGAAUGCGCUCGACGGUGAGGGAUGAAAGCUGGGGGAGCAAACCGGAUUAGAUACCCGGGUAGUCCCAGCUGUAAACGAUGCAGACUCGGUGAUGGACUAGCUUAAUGCUAGUCCAGUGCCGCAGGGAAGCCGUUAAGUCUGCCGCCUGGGUAGUACGGUCGC